GGAGGUAUACCCAAGUUCGGCUGAAGGGAUCGGUCUUGAAAACCGACAGGCGGGUCAAACCGCGCGGGGGUUCGAAUCCCUCUACCUCCU
Lentibacillus amyloliquefaciens is the source of this 90-nucleotide transfer RNA. It matches the Rfam family "tRNA". Rfam says of the family: Transfer RNA (tRNA) molecules are approximately 80 nucleotides in length. Their secondary structure includes four short double-helical elements and three loops (D, anti-codon, and T loops). Further hydrogen bonds mediate the characteristic L-shaped molecular structure. tRNAs have two regions of fundamental functional importance: the anti-codon, which is responsible for specific mRNA codon recognition, and the 3' end, to which the tRNAs corresponding amino acid is attached (by aminoacyl-tRNA synthetases). tRNAs cope with the degeneracy of the genetic code in two manners: having more than one tRNA (with a specific anti-codon) for a particular amino acid; and 'wobble' base-pairing, i.e. permitting non-standard base-pairing at the 3rd anti-codon position. The record is from Rfam. Lineage: Bacteria; Bacillati; Bacillota; Bacilli; Caryophanales; Bacillaceae.